Lactuca sativa (garden lettuce) is the source of this 896-nucleotide long non-coding RNA. RefSeq lists it as uncharacterized. The record is from RefSeq and is a predicted model, not a curated record. Lineage: Eukaryota; Viridiplantae; Streptophyta; Magnoliopsida; Asterales; Asteraceae.
UUCACCAUGCUAACCUUAACCCUAGAGCAAACCAUCAGCCGCCACCUUCACUACUCCCCUUCUCCAGCCGCCGCCGUCGCGCCACCUACCUCUUCGCCAUCAGAACUCCAUCGCCACUGUCGGGCGACGCGCAUAACCGAGGAAGAACCACCAAAAGCGGUCAAAUGAAGCGGUAUCGACUGGAAAUCGGAGAUGUUGUGGCCACCAUCCUCCUGCUUUCCGACGUCUCUUUUUCAGGCGUUGCGUAUCAACCCCGUAGGCAUCGACGCUGCUCAUCUCCGUCGAAGACGUGGGUGUCCCCAGGCUCUAGGCUGCAGUUGUUGUUGUUAAUCGCCGACAGCCAUCGCUAUGGCCGCUAGUGCCGUCGCUGCCUUCACCGUGCGUCACUAGGUGGGGGGGGCUACGUUUGUUUGGGCGUAAAGGUCGAGUAUUGGUGUUUCGUAUCGUGAUUUGAGAGUUUCUAUCGGCUGGAACCACCAUGGCGCCCAACCAUGAUGGCUGCCACCUUCUACCACCACCAGCCACCAUAGGGUGGUUGUGUGUGUGUUUAUGUUGUUUAGUUUCAGGAAUUUGUCAUCUAGCAGCCGGGGUUGAGUCUGCGGGACUUCAGCAGUGUGGGAUUGUGUCUACGGGACUUCAGCAGUGUGAGGCAGUGUUGUAAAACUCGCCGAGUUGGCCGAUUACUCCUCCGAGUACUCGCUACUCGGCCCCUUACCGAGGCGAGUUACAAUUUCCCGAGUACUCCCCGAUCGGUCCCUUACUGAACUGAGCAGUGUUGUAAAACUCGGUCAACUCGGUGAUUAAUAUGUAUAAUAUACUUAAUGAUUUAUUAUUUAACACACACACACAUGGAUUAUUACUAUAUAUAUAUUAAAUUUUCAGUAAUUAUUCACGAA